Molecule: long non-coding RNA, 294 nt
Organism: Eurytemora carolleeae
Lineage: Eukaryota; Metazoa; Arthropoda; Copepoda; Calanoida; Temoridae
Exons: 3
Source: RefSeq, a predicted model, not a curated record
GGUGGAGGGAGCAGCAGUAAUGUUUGGAGCUAUUUAACAGCAGGAGUUGUUUCGCUUAACGUUGCAGCAAAUAUUGUAAACAAUGCGAAUGAAAACAACAACAACAACAACAACAAUAACAACCAGGAUAACACAAACAAUAACAACCAGAACUUUGGAAACAGUGCCAAUGGAAAUACGAACAUGAAUAUGAUAAUCCCUGGUCGAAAAUUUCAAGAAAAAUUAGAAUUCACGAGUAAGACACUAGAGUCCUUGGAAAAUACAUUGAUAUACCUCUCCUGCAAACUAACGGAG